Molecule: ribosomal RNA, 549 nt
Filed under: Recurvirostra americana (American avocet)
Lineage: Eukaryota; Metazoa; Chordata; Aves; Charadriiformes; Recurvirostridae
Description: partial 12S ribosomal RNA
Rfam family: Bacterial small subunit ribosomal RNA
Source: RNAcentral
UAAGAUUAAAAUGUAACUGAGCUGUCAUAAGCCCAAGAUACACCUAAGACCACCCCUGAGGCGAUCUUAGCACCUUGCGAUUUAUUAAACUCCACGAAAGCUAAGGCCCAAACUGGGAUUAGAUACCCCACUAUGCCUAGCCCUAAAUCCUAAUGCUUACUCUACCAAAGCAUUCGCCUGGGAACUACGAGCACAAACGCUUAAAACCCUAAGGACUUGGCGGUGCCCCAAACCCACCUAGAGGAGCCUGUUCUAUAAUCGAUACCCCACGAUACACCCGACCGCUCCUUGCCAAGGCAGCCUACAUACCGCCGUCGCCAGCUCACCUCCAUUGAAAGCACAGUAGUGAGCAUAAUAGUCCAAACCCACUAACAAGACAGGUCGAGGUAUAGCCUAUGGAGCGGAAGAAAUGGGCUACAUUUUCUAAUAUAGAAAACUACGGAAGGGGGUGUGAAACCGCCCCCAGAAGGAGGAUUUAGCAGUAAACCGGGACAAUGACGCCCGCUUUAAGUCGGCCCUGGGGCACGUACAUACCGCCCGUCACCCUCC